AUUGAACGCUGGCGGCAGGCCUAACACAUGCAAGUCGAGCGAGUGGCGGACGGGUGAGUAAUGUAUGGGGACUGCCCGAUAGAGGGGGAUAACUACUGGAAACGGUGUCUACUACCGCAUACUAUCGGAUAACCCAUAUGGGAUUAGCUAGUAGGGGGGGUAAAGGCUCACCUAGGCGACGAUCCCUGGCUGGUCUGAGAGGAUGACCAGCCACACGGGGACUGAGACACGGCCCAGACUCCUACGGAGGCAGCAGUGGGGAAUAUUGCACAAUGGGCGCAAGCCUGAUGCAGCCAUGCCGCGUGUAUGAAGAAGGCCCUAGGGUUGUAAAGUACUUUCAGUCGGGAGGCGUUACCGACAGAAGAAGCACCGGCUAACUCCGUGCCAGCAGCCGCGGUAAGAC
Molecule: ribosomal RNA, 403 nt
Filed under: uncultured bacterium
Lineage: Bacteria
Description: partial 16S ribosomal RNA
Rfam family: Bacterial small subunit ribosomal RNA
Source: RNAcentral